Molecule: ribosomal RNA, 838 nt
Filed under: Paraburkholderia sp.
Lineage: Bacteria; Pseudomonadati; Pseudomonadota; Betaproteobacteria; Burkholderiales; Burkholderiaceae
Description: bacterial SSU rRNA
Rfam family: Bacterial small subunit ribosomal RNA
Source: RNAcentral
UGCGCAUCCUUACACAUGCAAGUCGAACGGCAGCACGGGGGCAACCCUGGUGGCGAGUGGCGAACGGGUGAGUAAUACAUCGGAACGUGUCCUGUAGUGGGGGAUAGCCCGGCGAAAGCCGGAUUAAUACCGCAUACGCUCUACGGAGGAAAGGGGGGGAUCUCAGGACCUCCCGCUACAGGGGCGGCCGAUGGCAGAUUAGCUAGUUGGUGGGGUAAAGGCCUACCAAGGCGACGAUCUGUAGCUGGUCUGAGAGGACGACCAGCCACACUGGGACUGAGACACGGCCCAGACUCCUACGGGAGGCAGCAGUGGGGAAUUUUGGACAAUGGGCGAAAGCCUGAUCCAGCAAUGCCGCGUGUGUGAAGAAGGCCUUCGGGUUGUAAAGCACUUUUGUCCGGAAAGAAAACCUCCGCCCUAAUAUGGUGGGGGGAUGACGGUACCGGAAGAAUAAGCACCGGCUAACUACGUGCCAGCAGCCGCGGUAAUACGUAGGGUGCAAGCGUUAAUCGGAAUUACUGGGCGUAAAGCGUGCGCAGGCGGUCCGCUAAGACAGAUGUGAAAUCCCCGGGCUUAACCUGGGAACUGCAUUUGUGACUGGCGGGCUAGAGUAUGGCAGAGGGGGGUAGAAUUCCACGUGUAGCAGUGAAAUGCGUAGAGAUGUGGAGGAAUACCGAUGGCGAAGGCAGCCCCCUGGGCCAAUACUGACGCUCAUGCACGAAAGCGUGGGGAGCAAACAGGAUUAGAUACCCUGGUAGUCCACGCCCUAAACGAUGUCAACUAGUUGUUGGGGAUUCAUUUCCUUAGUAACGUAGCUAACGCGUGAAGUGACCGCCUG